GACGAACGCUGGCGGCGUGCUUAACACAUGCAAGUCGAACGGAAAGGCCCUGCUUUUGUGGGGUGCUCGAGUGGCGAACGGGUGAGUAACACGUGAGUAACCUGCCCUUGACUUUGGGAUAACUUCAGGAAACUGGGGCUAAUACCGGAUAGGAGCUCCUGCUGCAUGGUGGGGGUUGGAAAGUUUCGGCGGUUGGGGAUGGACUCGCGGCUUAUCAGCUUGUUGGUGGGGUAGUGGCUUACCAAGGCUUUGACGGGUAGCCGGCCUGAGAGGGUGACCGGCCACAUUGGGACUGAGAUACGGCCCAGACUCCUACGGGAGGCAGCAGUGGGGAAUAUUGCACAAUGGGCGGAAGCCUGAUGCAGCAACGCCGCGUGCGGGAUGUCGGCCUUCGGGUUGUAAACCGCUUUCGCCUGUGGCGAAGCGUGAGUGACGGUAAUGGGUAAAGAAGCACCGGCUAACUACGUG
Molecule: ribosomal RNA, 468 nt
Filed under: uncultured bacterium
Lineage: Bacteria
Description: partial 16S ribosomal RNA
Rfam family: Bacterial small subunit ribosomal RNA
Source: RNAcentral